RNAcentral lists this ribosomal RNA (253 nucleotides) under uncultured bacterium. RNAcentral's name for it is "partial 16S ribosomal RNA". It matches the Rfam family "Bacterial small subunit ribosomal RNA", at positions 524 to 776 of the family's 1533-position model. The record is from RNAcentral.
GACGUAGGGCGCGAGCGUUGUCCGGAUUUAUUGGGCGUAAAGAGCUCGUAGGCGGCUUGUCGCGUCGAAUGUGAAAACUCGGGGCUCAACUCCGAGCUUGCAUUCGAUACGGGCAGGCUAGAGUUCGGUAGGGGAGACUGGAAUUCCUGGUGUAGCGGUGAAAUGCGCAGAUAUCAGGAGGAACACCGGUGGCGAAGGCGGGUCUCUGGGCCGAUACUGACGCUGAGGAGCGAAAGCGUGGGGAGCGAACAGG